RNAcentral lists this ribosomal RNA (706 nucleotides) under uncultured Enterobacteriaceae bacterium. Its description in RNAcentral is "bacterial SSU rRNA". It matches the Rfam family "Bacterial small subunit ribosomal RNA", at positions 794 to 1502 of the family's 1533-position model. The record is from RNAcentral. Lineage: Bacteria; Pseudomonadati; Pseudomonadota; Gammaproteobacteria; Enterobacterales; Enterobacteriaceae.
GUCACGCUGUAAACGAUGUCGAUUUGGAGUUUGUUGCCUAGAGUGAUGGGCUCCGAAGCUAACGCGAUAAAUCGACCGCUGGGGAGUACGGCCGCAAGGUUAAAACUCAAAUGAAUUGACGGGGGCCCGCACAGCGGUGGAGCAUGUGGUUUAAUUCGAUGCAACGCGAAGAACCUUACCUGGUCUUGACAUCCAUAGAAUUCUGCAGAGAUGUGGGAGUGCCUUCGGGAACUAUGAGACAGGUGCUGCAUGGCUGUCGUCAGCUCGUGUUGUGAAAUGUUGGGUUAAGUCCCGCAACGAGCGCAACCCUUAUUCUUUGUUGCCAGCGAUUUGGUCGGGAACUCAAAGGAGACUGCCGUUGAUAAAGCGGAGGAAGGUGGGGACGACGUCAAGUCAUCAUGGCCCUUACGACCAGGGCUACACACGUGCUACAAUGGCGUAUACAAAGGGAAGCGAAGGUGCGAGCUGGAGCGGAUCUCAUAAAGUACGUCUAAGUUCGGAUUGGAGUCUGCAACUCGACUCCAUGAAGUCGGAAUCGCUAGUAAUCGUAGAUCAGAAUGCUACGGUGAAUACGUUCCCGGGCCUUGUACACACCGCCCGUCACACCAUGGGAGUGGGUUGCACCAGAAGUAGAUAGCUUAACCGCGAGGGGGGCGUUUACCACGGUGUGAUUCAUGACUGGGGUGAAGUCGUAACAAGGUAACCA